Molecule: ribosomal RNA, 405 nt
Filed under: uncultured bacterium
Lineage: Bacteria
Description: bacterial SSU rRNA
Rfam family: Bacterial small subunit ribosomal RNA
Source: RNAcentral
GUGCCAGCCGCCGCGGUAAUACGGAGGGUGCAAGCGUUAUCCGGAUUUAUUGGGUUUAAAGGGUCCGUAGGCGGAUCAUUAAGUCAGUGGUGAAAGCCGGCAGCUCAACUGUCGAACUGCCAUUGAUACUGAUGAUCUUGAAUGCUGUUGAAGUUGGCGGAAUAGGUCAUGUAGCGGUGAAAUGCUUAGAUAUGACCUAGAACACCGAUUGCGAAGGCAGCCAACUAAGCAGUUAUUGACGCUGAGGGACGAAAGCGUGGGGAGCGAACAGGAUUAGAUACCCUGGUAGUCCACGCCGUAAACGAUGAUUACUCGGUAUUGGCUUCGGUCAGUGCCCAAGCGAAAGUGAUAAGUAAUCCACCUGGGGAGUACGCCCGCAAGGGUGAAACUCAAAUAAAUUGACGG